This 254-nucleotide ribosomal RNA is filed under the name uncultured bacterium. RNAcentral describes it as "partial 16S ribosomal RNA". It matches the Rfam family "Bacterial small subunit ribosomal RNA", at positions 524 to 776 of the family's 1533-position model. The record is from RNAcentral.
UACGUAGGGGGCAAGCGUUGUCCGGAAUUAUUGGGCGUAAAGAGCUCGUAGGCGGUGUGUCGCGUCGGCCGUGAAAACCUGCAGCUUAACUGUGGGCUUGCGGUCGAUACGGGCAUUACUGGAGUUCGGCAGGGGAGACUGGAAUUCCUGGUGUAGCGGUGAAAUGCGCAGAUAUCAGGAGGAACACCGGUGGCGAAGGCGGGUCUCUGGGCCGAUACUGACGCUGAGGAGCGAAAGCGUGGGGAGCGAACAGG